This 465-nucleotide ribosomal RNA is filed under the name Vreelandella stevensii. RNAcentral describes it as "partial 16S ribosomal RNA". It matches the Rfam family "Bacterial small subunit ribosomal RNA", at positions 338 to 795 of the family's 1533-position model. The record is from RNAcentral. Lineage: Bacteria; Pseudomonadati; Pseudomonadota; Gammaproteobacteria; Oceanospirillales; Halomonadaceae.
CCUACGGGCGGCAGCAGUGGGGAAUAUUGGACAAUGGGCGAAAGCCUGAUCCAGCCAUGCCACGUGUGUGAAGAAGGCCUUCGGGUUGUAAAGCACUUUCAGUGGGGAAGAAAGCCUUGGGGCUAAUACCCUCGAGGAAGGACAUCACCCACAGAAGAAGCACCGGCUAACUCCGUGCCAGCAGCCGCGGUAAUACGGAGGGUGCGAGCGUUAAUCGGAAUUACUGGGCGUAAAGCGCGCGUAGGCGGUCUGAUAAGCCGGUUGUGAAAGCCCCGGGCUCAACCUGGGAACGGCAUCCGGAACUGUCAGGCUAGAGUGCAGGAGAGGAAGGUAGAAUUCCCGGUGUAGCGGUGAAAUGCGUAGAGAUCGGGAGGAAUACCAGUGGCGAAGGCGGCCUUCUGGACUGACACUGACGCUGAGGUGCGAAAGCGUGGGUAGCAAACAGGAUUAGAUACCCUGGUAGUC